CAGCAGCCGCGGUAAAACGGAGGGGGCUAGCGUUGUUCGGAAUUACUGGGCGUAAAGCGCACGUAGGCGGCUUGGUAAGUUAGAGGUGAAAGCCCGGAGCUCAACUCCGGAAUUGCCUUUAAGACUGCCGAGCUAGCAGGUGAGAGAGGUAAGUGGAAUUCCGAGUGUAGAGGUGAAAUUCGUAGAUAUUCGGAAGAACACCAGUGGCGAAGGCGACUGACUGGACAAGUAUUGACGCUGAGGUGCGAAAGCGUGGGGAGCAAACAGGAUUAGAUACCCCAGUAGUCCCUGUCUCUUAUAC
RNAcentral lists this ribosomal RNA (301 nucleotides) under uncultured bacterium. RNAcentral's name for it is "partial 16S ribosomal RNA". It matches the Rfam family "Bacterial small subunit ribosomal RNA", at positions 509 to 807 of the family's 1533-position model. The record is from RNAcentral.